UCAUACGAAUAAUAAGCUGUUGACCGUC
RNAcentral lists this small RNA (28 nucleotides) under Bombyx mori (domestic silkworm). RNAcentral describes it as "ovarian small RNA-25898". The record is from RNAcentral. Lineage: Eukaryota; Metazoa; Arthropoda; Insecta; Lepidoptera; Bombycidae.